This 209-nucleotide small nuclear RNA is filed under the name Microtus ochrogaster (prairie vole). RNAcentral's name for it is "7SK RNA (ENSMOCG00000009621.1)". It matches the Rfam family "7SK RNA", at positions 60 to 331 of the family's 331-position model. Rfam says of the family: 7SK was discovered as an abundant small nuclear RNA in the mid-70s but a possible function has only recently been suggested. Two independent studies have found that 7SK RNA binds the CDK9/cyclin T complex (known as elongation factor P-TEFb). P-TEFb activates transcription by phosphorylating the C-terminal domain of RNA polymerase II. Lineage: Eukaryota; Metazoa; Chordata; Mammalia; Rodentia; Cricetidae. The record is from RNAcentral.
GGAUGAUCUCACUGGUAAAUCAGUGUUCCCUUUCUUUGUCACUGCUUCAUCUAUAUCUCUCCAAAUUGGCGCAAUUUAUGGAAGAAGACAACCUUAAUUGAUUGGGGAGGGGCAGUCUUCAGUCAAGGGUAGAUGAGUAGCUGUGCUCAGCUCUGAAGAUCCAAAAACAGUACAGAGGUCAAGACUUGAAGAGUAGUUUGUUAUAUUCU